RNAcentral lists this ribosomal RNA (911 nucleotides) under uncultured bacterium. RNAcentral describes it as "bacterial SSU rRNA". It matches the Rfam family "Bacterial small subunit ribosomal RNA", at positions 46 to 987 of the family's 1533-position model. The record is from RNAcentral.
GCCUAACACAUGCAAGUCGAACGAGAAAGUGGAGCAAUCCAUGAGUAAAGUGGCGCACGGGUGAGUAACACGUGACUAACCUACCCUGGAGUGGGGGAUAACUGAGGGAAACCUUAGCUAAUACCGCAUAACACCUACGGGUCAAAGGAGCAAUUCGCUUCAGGAGGGGGUCGCGGCCGAUUAGUUAGUUGGCAGGGUAACGGCCUACCAAGACGAUGAUCGGUAUCCGGCCUGAGAGGGCGCACGGACACACUGGAACUGAAACACGGUCCAGACUCCUACGGGAGGCAGCAGUGGGGAAUUUUGCGCAAUGGGGGAAACCCUGACGCAGCAACGCCGCGUGGAGGAUGAAGUCCUUCGGGACGUAAACUCCUUUCGAUCGGGACGAUUAUGACGGUACCGGAAGAAGAAGCCCCGGCUAACUUCGUGCCAGCAGCCGCGGUAAUACGAGGGGGGCGAGCGUUGUUCGGAAUUAUUGGGCGUAAAGGGUGCGUAGGCGGUUUGGUAAGUCUGAUGUGAAAUCUAUGGGCUCAACUCAUAGUCUGCAUCGGAAACUGCCGGGCUUGAGUGUGGGAGAGGUGAGUGGAAUUCCUGGUGUAGCGGUGAAAUGCGUAGAUAUCAGGAGGAACACCUGUGGCGAAAGCGGCUCACUGGACCAUAACUGACGCUGAUGCACGAAAGCUAGGGGAGCAAACAGGAUUAGAUACCCUGGUAGUCCUAGCCCUAAACGAUGACUGCUUGGUGUGACGGGUACCCAAUCCCGCCGUGCCGUAGCUAACGCGUUAAGCAGUCCGCCUGGGGAGUACGGUCGCAAGGCUGAAACUCAAAGGAAUUGACGGGGGGCCCGCACAAGCGGUGGAGCAUGUGGUUUAAUUCGACGCAACGCGAAGAACCUUACCUGGGCUCGAAAU